Molecule: ribosomal RNA, 510 nt
Filed under: uncultured bacterium
Lineage: Bacteria
Description: partial 16S ribosomal RNA
Rfam family: Bacterial small subunit ribosomal RNA
Source: RNAcentral
GACGAACGCUGGCGGCGUGCUUAACACAUGCAAGUCGAACGAAGAGCGACGGAAGCUUGCUUCUAUCAAUCUUAGUGGCGAACGGGUGAGUAACGCGUAAUCAACCUGCCCUUCAGAGGGGGACAACAGUUGGAAACGACUGCUAAUACCGCAUACGAUCUAAUCUCGGCAUCGAGGAUGGAUGAAAGGUGGCCUCUACAUGUAAGCUAUCACUGAAGGAGGGGGUUGCGUCUGAUUAGCUAGUUGGAGGGGUAACGGCCCACCAAGGCGAUGAUCAGUAGCCGGUCUGAGAGGAUGAACGGCCACAUUGGGACUGAGACACGGCCCAGACUCCUACGGGAGGCAGCAGUGGGGAAUCUUCCGCAAUGGACGAAAGUCUGACGGAGCAACGCCGCGUGAGUGAUGACGGCCUUCGGGUUGUAAAGCUCUGUUAAUCGGGACGAAAGGCCUUCUUGCGAAUAGUGAGAAGGAUUGACGGUACCGGAAUAGAAAGCCACGGCUAACUACGUG